RNAcentral lists this ribosomal RNA (495 nucleotides) under uncultured bacterium. RNAcentral describes it as "partial 16S ribosomal RNA". It matches the Rfam family "Bacterial small subunit ribosomal RNA", at positions 28 to 505 of the family's 1533-position model. The record is from RNAcentral.
GAUGAACGCUGGCGGCGUGCCUAAUACAUGCAAGUCGAGCGAACAGAUGAGGAGCUUGCUCCUCUGACGUUAGCGGCGGACGGGUGAGUAACACGUGGAUAACCUACCUAUAAGACUGGGAUAACUUCGGGAAACCGGAGCUAAUACCGGAUAAUAUAUUGAACCGCAUGGUUCAAUAGUGAAAGACGGUUUUGCUGUCACUUAUAGAUGGAUCCGCGCCGCAUUAGCUAGUUGGUAAGGUAACGGCUUACCAAGGCAACGAUGCGUAGCCGACCUGAGAGGGUGAUCGGCCACACUGGAACUGAGACACGGUCCAGACUCCUACGGGAGGCAGCAGUAGGGAAUCUUCCGCAAUGGGCGAAAGCCUGACGGAGCAACGCCGCGUGAGUGAUGAAGGUCUUCGGAUCGUAAAACUCUGUUAUUGGGGAAGAACAAAUGUGUAAGUAACUAUGCACGUCUGGACGGUACCUAAUCAGAAAGCCACGGCUAACUACG